GGUAGCUUGCUACCAGGCGUCGAGCGGCGGACGGGUGAGUAAUACUUAGGAAUCUACCUAGUAGUGGGGGAUAGCACGGGGAAACUCGUAUUAAUACCGCAUACGACCUACGGGAGAAAGGGGGCAGUUUACUGCUCUCGCUAUUAGAUGAGCCUAAGUCGGAUUAGCUAGAUGGUGGGGUAAAGGCCUACCAUGGCGACGAUCUGUAGCUGGUCUGAGAGGAUGAUCAGCCACACCGGGACUGAGACACGGCCCGGACUCCUACGGGAGGCAGCAGUGGGGAAUAUUGGACAAUGGGGGAAACCCUGAUCCAGCCAUGCCGCGUGUGUGAAGAAGGCCUUUUGGUUGUAAAGCACUUUAAGCAGUGAAGAAGACUCUUCGGUUAAUACCCGGAGACGAUGACAUUAGCUGCAGAAUAAGCACCGGCUAACUCUGUGCCAGCAGCCGCGGUAAUACAGAGGGUGCAAGCGUUAAUCGGAAUUACUGGGCGUAAAGCGAGCGUAGGUGGCUUGAUAAGUCAGAUGUGAAAUCCCCGGGCUUAACCUGGGAACUGCAUCUGAAACUGUUAGGCUAGAGUAGGUGAGAGGGAAGUAGAAUUUCAGGUGUAGCGGUGAAAUGCGUAGAGAUCUGAAGGAAUACCGAUGGCGAAGGCAGCUUCCUGGCAUCAUACUGACACUGAGGCUCGAAAGCGUGGGUAGCAAACAGGAUUAGAUACCCUGGUAGUCCACGCCGUAAACGAUGUCUACUAGUCGUUGGGUCCCUUGAGGACUUAGUGACGCAGCUAACGCAAUAAGUAGACCGCCUGGGGAGUACGGC
Molecule: ribosomal RNA, 816 nt
Filed under: Psychrobacter nivimaris
Lineage: Bacteria; Pseudomonadati; Pseudomonadota; Gammaproteobacteria; Moraxellales; Moraxellaceae
Description: bacterial SSU rRNA
Rfam family: Bacterial small subunit ribosomal RNA
Source: RNAcentral